GGGGUUGUGGCUCAGCGGUAGAGCACUUGCCGAGCAUGUGAGAGGCACUGGGUUCAAUCCUCAGCACCACA
This 71-nucleotide transfer RNA is filed under the name Marmota monax (woodchuck). RNAcentral describes it as "tRNA.Ala". Lineage: Eukaryota; Metazoa; Chordata; Mammalia; Rodentia; Sciuridae. The record is from RNAcentral.